CGCAGUUUUUCUGAAUAUUAGUGUCCAGGGAUGCAUUUCCUGUGAAUCACUUUAUUAACAGGAUAUGAUACCAUUCUUCUUGGUGCAAUUGCACUGUUUUUCAAGGAGAUAAGCAGUGAUUUAUUCUGCUGCAUAAGGAAAAGCAAGCAUUCUUACCCUCACAAUUGUUUAAACUUUCAGAUUUCUCAGUGCAUUGCUUCCCAUCCCACCAAAACUUAUUGGAGAUGUGUUUCCUUGUAACUGAAACUGGGAGGGCACAUACCACAUCAGCAAGUCAAGUGUCUAAGACAGCAGGAUAGCUGAUGUUCAAAAGUACAUUCAGUGACAUAAUGACUUACUGUCAUAAAGAAAACCAAGGAAGUCAUCAGAAGAAUGCAAGGACUCCAGAAGUGUCAGUUUGAAGGCAAAGAAGUCUACGAAACGUCAUUGAGCAUUCUCAAAUUUUUAAAAAGAAUGAGAAGGCAUAGGUUUUGAAUUUAAAAACUUCCAUGCAACUCACGAUUACCAAGUUUAUCAAAGUCACGUGUCAGAUAUUUGCUGUAAGAUAUUUCUGCUAAGCACUAACAUCUGAUGCAGUGCAAUGCUACUGAACAAUCUGAAAAUACGAUUUCAACAAAGUAUAUCUGUGUACAAUAAGGAAUCAAAAUGACCUUUAAAAAUGUGCUAUCAGAUCUCUCUUUUUGUAGCUGAACUUCACACUAGCAGAGUAGGUAUUAUUGAUGCCAAUUUAGAAAUCUAGUCAUGUAUCUACCUCUAUAUUUUUAUUCAGC
RNAcentral lists this long non-coding RNA (770 nucleotides) under Numida meleagris (helmeted guineafowl). Its description in RNAcentral is "lncRNA (ENSNMEG00000004037.1)". The record is from RNAcentral. Lineage: Eukaryota; Metazoa; Chordata; Aves; Galliformes; Numididae.